GACGAACGCUGGCGACGUGCUUAACACAUGCAAGUCGAACGGAAAGGCCCUGCUUUUGUGGGGUGCUCGAGUGGCGAACGGGUGAGUAACACGUGAGUAACCUGCCCUUGACUUUGGGAUAACUUCAGGAAACUGGGGCUAAUACCGGAUAGGAGCUCCUGCUGAAUGGUGGGGGUUGGAAAGUUUCGACGGUUGGGGAUGGACUCGCGGCUUAUCAGCUUGUUGGUGGGGCAGUGGCUUACCAAGGCUUUGACGGGUAGCCGGCCUGAGAGGGUGACCGGCCACAUUGGGUCUGAGAGACGGCCCGGACUCCUGCGGUAGGCAGCAGUGGGGAAUAUUGCACAAUGGGCGGAAGCCUGAUGCAGCAACGCCGCGUGCGGGAUGACGGCCUUCGGGUUGUAAACCGCUUUCGCCUGUGACGAAGCGUGAGUGACGGUAAUGGGUAAAGAAGCACCGGCUAACUACGUG
Molecule: ribosomal RNA, 468 nt
Filed under: uncultured bacterium
Lineage: Bacteria
Description: partial 16S ribosomal RNA
Rfam family: Bacterial small subunit ribosomal RNA
Source: RNAcentral